Molecule: ribosomal RNA, 515 nt
Filed under: uncultured bacterium
Lineage: Bacteria
Description: bacterial SSU rRNA
Rfam family: Bacterial small subunit ribosomal RNA
Source: RNAcentral
AGAGUUUGAUUAUGGCUCAGGAUGAACGCUAGCGGCAGGCCUAAUACAUGCAAGUCGUACGGGAUGAGUCCUUCGGGACUCUGAGAGUGGCGCACGGGUGCGUAACGCGUAUGCAACCAACCCCUUUCCGGGAGACAGCCGGUGGAAACGCCGGGUAAUACCCCAUGCCGAUGCAGGAAGACAUCUUCCGGCAUUGAAAGACCUCGGUCGGAGAGGGACGGGCAUGCGUCCCAUUAGCUAGUUGGCGGGGCAACGGCCCACCAAGGCGACGAUGGGUAGGGGAUCUGAGAGGACGGUCCCCCACACUGGUACUGAGACACGGACCAGACUCCUACGGGAGGCAGCAGUAAGGAAUAUUGGGCAAUGGAGGCAACUCUGACCCAGCCAAUGCCGCGUGAGGGAAUAAGGCCCUACGGGUCGUAAACCUCUUUUGCUUGGGGACAAAGACGGUGUCGAGAACACUGUUUGCGGGUACCAGGCGAAUAAGCAUCGGCUAACUCCGUGCCAGCCGCCGC